CGUGCAGGAAAUUUUAUUUAAAACCUGAAAAGAAUUAUCAGAAAAUUCAGGGCCAAUAAGAAUUUUCUAUGAGAAAGCAGGAUAUGGGGAAAAAAGUCCAGUAAUCGAAGAUGUUCCCCUGGGCUCUGCAAUACAUAGACCACAUGAAAAUACAACAGGAUGGCAUAUUCACAGUGGCAUCAAGAAUCCCAAAAGUCCUAGGAACGACCAAACCCCAAAUAGCCAGGACUGUGUGAAAUUCCACUGAGACAGCAUCACUCUAAAUUGAAUAAAUGGAGAUAAAUAUCAAUAUUUGAAAGUUGUUCUUUCUUUGGAAAUUAAUGUACAUAUUUAACAAUAUCAAAAAAAAUCUUCAGAAGGAAACAUGUUGGAAUCAAAUAAUUCUAAAAUCCAUUUAAAUUAGAAAACCAAGAAUACCUAUGAAACAGAGUGAAACAGCAAAUUUUAAAACAUCUAAUAAAACCACAAGAAUUAAAUCAGCAUGGCAUUGGGCUAUUACCAGAAAGUCCAAUGAGAAAAUACACAACCCAGAGAGUUUCUGGGGUAGAAAACCUUCACAAAAGGCGAAGGUUGCAUCACCUCAGGGCAGGCAGGGGUGUGAAUCGGGGGCGGGGGGGGGAGGUGUUCAAUUAAUGUGAUAAGUCAAUUGAUGAGCCCUUGGGAGACAGACUUAUUUACUUAUUCCUCAGCAAAUGGAAGUUCCUGGACCAGGGGUAGAAUCUGAGCCGCAGCUGCGACCUAUACCACAGCUGCAGCAACGCUGGCUCCUUAAUCCACUGCCCCAGGCCAGGGACUUAAUCUGCACCUCUGCAGUGACCUGAGCCACUGCAGUCAGAUCCUUAACCCCCUGGGCCACAGCAGGAACUCUGGGAGAAGGAUUAUUUAGAUCCUCACUUCAUACCAUGCAACACAAAUAUCAGAGAAAAACAAACCAUAAACAAAUGGGCACUAGCAUUUAUCUGGAUUUGGAUAUGUGGAUUUCCUACAUGUAAAAAAUUAGUACAAAAAUUAAAAAGGAAACCAUUGAUACAUUGAAAGAUGCUGUGAUGUAUACAUAUCAAUGCAUAUUUUUCUUUUUUUGUUUGUUUGUUUUUUGUUUUUGUCUGUUUGCCUUUUCUAGGGCCGCCUCCCUCGGCAUAUGGAGGUUCCCAAGCUAGGGGUCUAAUCGGAGCUGUAGCCACCGGCCUACGCCAGAGCCACAGCAACGUGGGAUCCGAGCUGCAUCUGCAACCUACACCACAGCUCACAGCAACACCAGAUCCUUAACCCAGUGAGCAAGUGGGUUAAGGAGCCUGCAUGGCUGUGAGCUCAGGUGUAGGUCGCAGAUGCGGCUCAGACCCUGUGUGGCUGCGGCUGCGGCUGUGGCCGGCAGCUGUAGCUCUGAUUCAACCCCUAGCCUGGGGGUUUCCACAGGCCACAGGUGUGCCCCCCCAAAAAGGUACAAACUUCCAGUUACAAAUCAAAUGAGUCAUGGGUGUGAAAGGCACAGCACGGGGCACAGGGCGCAUAACUACGUGACGUCUUUGUCCGGUGACAGGGUGGAACCAGACGUCCAAGUGGCGAGUGGUGAUCUUCUCAAGAUGCAGAGAAACAUCAAACCACUGCGCUGUAGCCCGAACCCAGGCUGCCGGUCAAGCGGACAAACGUGGAGAAAAGGAGGCCGGGUCUGCGGUCACCAGAGGUGGUGGGAGAGGGAGGAGGAGUUGCGUGAAGUGGGCUCAAAAGGAGAGACGUCCGGCUGUGAGGUACCUGAGUCUUCCAGGCGUGUCGCAACAUGGCAAAGUCACGCUGCUGCACGGGAAGAGGCGAGCAGCUGAGAGGAGAACCCUCAGAGCCCCCCGCGAGACAACGGGCGCCCACAGAACCCGUUUGGGUCCUUUCCCCAUCACCCAAGUCCCCUCCAAUUUCACCGUGCCGCGUGUCAAUUUUAUCACAAAACUGGAAGUGCCGAAAAAGAAAGGUGCUCUCUCUCUGUGUCAUACAGCAGUUAAAAUCAACAGGACUUAUAAAACAGGAGGGCAAAAUGAAUGGCUCUGUUAAGUGAAAAAGGUUAUGAAUUGAUAACUCAUAAAUGAAGAAAUACAACUGGUUAAUCUGUAUUUGAGAAAAGAAUAGUUCCGCCCCCCCCGCCCCCCCCCACAAUGCCCAGUUUUAUGAAACGCACACCAACCGUUUGGUGGCCUUGGCCUUGGGAACAGGAAAGGACCGAGCUGUCUGCUUUCCUGGCCUUUGGUCCCCUGGGAGACCCACGUGCCCAAACCCUCUGAGGGCAGGUGUGGCUGGGAUGCUCAAGCUGCUUCCAGGCCUUCUGUUCCUCUCACUGCCCGGCCCUGCAGUGAGGAGUGGACAGCGGUGCCACCUGCUCAGAUGGAGCAGGGCUGAGCAGCCAAGGGCCUUGGGAUGGAGACUCUGGCUCUGCACAUGCAGGAGCCAACCUGACAGGUCCCAGUUACGGUCCAGCGCCAGCUAUGUCACUGAACAAAACAGACAAAGGGCCC
Molecule: long non-coding RNA, 2498 nt
Filed under: Sus scrofa (pig)
Lineage: Eukaryota; Metazoa; Chordata; Mammalia; Artiodactyla; Suidae
Description: lncRNA (ENSSSCG00055029465.1)
Source: RNAcentral